GCACUGCUGACGAUUGCAAAACAGGACGAAACGGCUGUCCAGUGC
This 45-nucleotide non-coding RNA is filed under the name Echinostoma caproni. The record is from RNAcentral. Lineage: Eukaryota; Metazoa; Platyhelminthes; Trematoda; Plagiorchiida; Echinostomatidae.